Molecule: ribosomal RNA, 254 nt
Filed under: uncultured bacterium
Lineage: Bacteria
Description: partial 16S ribosomal RNA
Rfam family: Bacterial small subunit ribosomal RNA
Source: RNAcentral
UACGAAGGGGGCGAGCGUUGUUCGGAUUUACUGGGCGUAAAGGGCGCGCAGGCGGCUCAUUUUGUCAGGCGUGAAAGCCCCGGGCUUAACCUGGGAACUGCGUUUGAUACGGAUGGGCUAGAGUUCGGGAGAGGAGAGUGGAAUUCCCAGUGUAGAGGUGAAAUUCGUAGAUAUUGGGAAGAACACCAGUGGCGAAGGCGGCUCACUGGCCCGGUACUGACGCUGAGAGUGCGAAAGCGUGGGGAGCAAACAGG